UACGGAGGGUGCGAGCGUUGUCCGGAAUCACUGGGCGUAAAGGGCGCGUAGGCGGCGCGGGUAGUCAUCGGUGAAAGUUCAGGGCUCAACUCUGAAUCGGCCGGUGAUACUCCCGUGCUCGAGCACUGUAGAGGCAGGUGGAAUUCCGGGUGUAGCGGUGGAAUGCGUAGAGAUCCGGAGGAAGACCGGUGGCGAAGGCGGCCUGCUGGGCAGUUACUGACACUGAGGCGCGACAGCGUGGGGAGCAAACAGG
This 253-nucleotide ribosomal RNA is filed under the name uncultured bacterium. RNAcentral's name for it is "partial 16S ribosomal RNA". It matches the Rfam family "Bacterial small subunit ribosomal RNA", at positions 524 to 776 of the family's 1533-position model. The record is from RNAcentral.